UCCUCCCUCUUUCUUCGUGCUUAACACAUGCAAGUCGAACGGAAAGGCCCUGCUUUUGUGGGGUGCUCGAGUGGCGAACGGGUGAGUAACACGUGAGUAACCUGCCCUUGACUUUGGGAUAACUUCAGGAAACUGGGGCUAAUACCGGAUAGGAGCUCCUGCUGCAUGGUGGGGGUUGGAAAGUUUCGGCGGUUGGGGAUGGACUCGCGGCUUAUCAGCUUGUUGGUGGGGUAGUGGCUUACCAAGGCUUUGCCGGGUAGCCGGCCUGAGAGGGUGACCGGCCACAUUGGGACUGAGAGACGGCCCAGACUCCUACGGGAGGCAGCAGUGGGGAAUAUUGCACAAUGGGCGGAAGCCUGAUGCAGCAACGCCGCGUGCGGGAUGACGGCCUUCGGGUUGUAAACCGCUUUCGCCUGUGACGAAGCGUGAGUGACGGUAAUGGGUAAAGAAGCACCGGCUAACUACGU
RNAcentral lists this ribosomal RNA (467 nucleotides) under uncultured bacterium. RNAcentral's name for it is "partial 16S ribosomal RNA". It matches the Rfam family "Bacterial small subunit ribosomal RNA", at positions 36 to 506 of the family's 1533-position model. The record is from RNAcentral.